CUCGAACUAAGAAGAGCUACUUAUUAACUUUUUGAAAUUAGAAAUACAAAGAUUAUGUGGAAAUAUGAUGGUGAUAGAUUAAUAUGUAGGAGCGAAAAACUUUCAAUUCUUAAGAUAUCUAGAAGUUUAAUAAAAGCAUUGAGUGCUGGUUAAUUUAUACAAAAAGUGAUGAGAUUUUUUGUUAAUAAAAUUUUAAAAAUAAUGUUUAACUUUAAAGAUUAAUCUCAGAAAGGUUUAUUGUUUGAAAAUAUCGAUAUUUUAAUGGAUUUAUAUUAUAUUAGACCUUUCUAGAUAGUUUACUGCUAGAAUUCAUAAUGUAUAAAUAAGUAAUAAAUUGACACAAAUUUGUCUAAUACUUGUAAAUAUCAUAUUGUAAGAUAUUUUUUAGAAUUAUAGAGAAGGAACUCGGCAAAUAGGAACUUCGACUGUUUACCAAAAACAUAGCCUAAGGAAUACAUCUUAGGUCAAACCUGCCCAAUGUAAAAUAAUAUUAAUGGCCGCGGUACCUUGACCGUGCUAAGGUAGCGAAAUCAAUUGGCUUUUAAUUGGAGUCAGGUAUGAAUGGAAUUACGUGGUUCAACUGUCUCCUUAAUAAUUAUUUGAAAUUACUAUAUAGAUGAAAAAGUCUAUAACAAGAAAAAAGACGAGAAGACCCUUAGAGUUUUUCUUAAAAUAAAUUUUUAAUAUAUUUACGAAAGUUUAGUUGGGGCAACUAGAGAAAAUAUCAGUAACUUCUCAAAUAUAUACUAGCCGAUUAUUUUAAGUUUGUAUAAACUACCUUAGGGAUAACAGCAUUAUGUAAAAAAUAAGUUUGUGACCUCGAUGUUGGACUGGGAAACUAAAAGGCUAGCCGUUUUUUAGGAAAGUUCUGUUCGAACUAAAAUUCCCACAUGAUCUGAGUUCAGACCGGUGUAAGCCAGGUCAGAUUCUAUCUUUUUAUUUUAAAAAUUUAGUACGAAAGGACCAAUUUUU
Molecule: ribosomal RNA, 972 nt
Filed under: Hypselodoris festiva
Lineage: Eukaryota; Metazoa; Mollusca; Gastropoda; Nudibranchia; Chromodorididae
Description: 16S ribosomal RNA
Rfam family: Bacterial large subunit ribosomal RNA
Source: RNAcentral